RNAcentral lists this ribosomal RNA (339 nucleotides) under uncultured bacterium. RNAcentral describes it as "bacterial SSU rRNA". It matches the Rfam family "Bacterial small subunit ribosomal RNA", at positions 1 to 334 of the family's 1533-position model. The record is from RNAcentral.
AGCCCGCUCAGUCUAGAGUUUGAUCCUGGCUCAGGACGAACGCUGGCGGCGUGCUUAACACAUGCAAGUCGAACGAUGAAGCCGCUUCGGUGGUUGGAUUAGUGGCGAACGGGUGAGUAACACGUGGGCAAUCUGCCCUGCACUCUGGGACAAGCCCUGGAAACGGGGUCUAAUACCGGAUACGACCAUCUGAGGCAUCUUGUGAUGGUGGAAAGCUCCGGCGGUGCAGGAUGAGCCCGCGGCCUAUCAGCUUGUUGGUGGGGUGAUGCCUACCAAGGCGACGACGGGUAGCCGGCCUGAGAGGGCGACCGGCCACACUGGGACUGAGACACGGCCCAG